RNAcentral lists this ribosomal RNA (433 nucleotides) under uncultured bacterium. RNAcentral's name for it is "partial 16S ribosomal RNA". It matches the Rfam family "Bacterial small subunit ribosomal RNA", at positions 29 to 507 of the family's 1533-position model. The record is from RNAcentral.
AACGAACGCUGGCGGCAUGCCUAACACAUGCAAGUCGAACGGGACCGUCGGGUCUUUUGGCGCACGGCUGCGUGCCGCGGGGGAACCUGCACUUAGGUUAGGUAUCCCUCACCGUAGGGGGUGCUCAUACCGGAUAGUCUCAUCCGACCUAAGAUUUUUCGCCAUUGGAUGGGCGCGCGUUGGAUUAGCUAGUUGGUAGGGUAAAAGCAUACCAAGGCGACGAUCCCUAGCUGGUCUGUGAGGAGGAUCAGUCACACUGGGACUGAGGCACGGACCAGUAUCGGACGGAAGGGAGCAGUGGAGAAUAUUGGGGGAUGGGCGAUGGUCUGAUCCAGCAGUGCCGGGUAAGUGAUGAAGGCGUUAGUGUUGUAAAGCUGUUUUAGACGAGACGAUAAUGACAGUACCGGGAGAAUAAGCUCCGGCUAACUACGUG